GAUGAAUGCUGGCGGCGUGCCUAAUACAUGCAAGUCGAGCGAACGGACGAGCUGCUUGCUCCUCUGAUGUUCGCGGCGCACGGGUGAGUAACACGUGGCUACCCUAUCUAUUCGACUGGGAUAACUUCGGGAAACCGGUGCUAACACCGGAUGCUAUUUUCAACCGCACGGCUCAAAAGUGAAUGACGCUCUUGCUGUCACUUAUAGAUGAAUCCGCGCUGCAUUAGCUAGUUGGUAAGGUAACGGCUUAUCAAGGCAACGAUGCAUAGAUGAGCUGAGAGCGUGAUCGGCCACACGGGAACAGAGACACAGUCGAGACUCCGGCGGUAGGCAGCAGUAGAGAAUCUUCCGCGAUGGACGAGAGCCUGACGGAGCAACACCGCGGGAGGGAUGAAGGUCUUCGGAUCGGAGAACGCUGUUAGUAGGGAAGUACAUAUGUGUAAGUAACUGUGCACAUCUUGACGGUACCUAAUCAGAAAGCCACGGCUAACUACGUG
RNAcentral lists this ribosomal RNA (497 nucleotides) under uncultured bacterium. RNAcentral describes it as "partial 16S ribosomal RNA". It matches the Rfam family "Bacterial small subunit ribosomal RNA", at positions 28 to 507 of the family's 1533-position model. The record is from RNAcentral.